RNAcentral lists this ribosomal RNA (513 nucleotides) under uncultured bacterium. RNAcentral describes it as "partial 16S ribosomal RNA". It matches the Rfam family "Bacterial small subunit ribosomal RNA", at positions 28 to 523 of the family's 1533-position model. The record is from RNAcentral.
GACGAACGCUGGCGGCAUGCCUAAUACAUGCAAGUCGAGCGAACAGAUGAAGUGCUUGCACUUCUGACGUUAGCGGCGAACGGGUGAGUAACACGUAAGGAAUCUACCUAUAAGCGGGGGAUAACAUUCGGAAACGGGUGCUAAUACCGCAUAAUAUCUUCUUCCGCAUGGAAGAAGAUUGAAAGACGGCUCUGCUGUCACUUAUAGAUGACCUUGCGGUGCAUUAGUUAGUUGGUGGGGUAAUGGCCUACCAAGACGAUGAUACAUAGCCGACCUGAGAGGGUGAGCGGCCACAUUGGGACUGAGACACGGCCCAAACUCCUACGGGAGGCAGCAGUAGGGAAUCUUCCGCAAUGGGCGAAAGCCUGACGGAGCAAUGCCGCGUGAGUGAAGAAGGCCUUCGGGUCGUAAAACUCUGUUAUAAGAGAAGAACAAAUUGUAGAGUAACUGCUACAGUCUUGACGGUAUCUUAUCAGAAAGCCACGGCUAACUACGUGCCAGCCGCCGCGGUAA